Molecule: long non-coding RNA, 1610 nt
Organism: Cucumis sativus (cucumber)
Lineage: Eukaryota; Viridiplantae; Streptophyta; Magnoliopsida; Cucurbitales; Cucurbitaceae
Exons: 4
Source: RefSeq, a predicted model, not a curated record
AACAGACAUAAAAAUAAAGGCAUGGGUUCAAAUAGAAGGUUUACAGCAAAAAAACUCAAAAGUCAAGCCACACCCAACUAAUCUGCGGCAAAAAUGAUACAAAUGAUCAUCAAGAAGUACCUUCAAACUUCAAUUCUUAACAUUGACAACAUGAAAUGUGCAGAUUAUCCUUGUAGUAGUCUUUACAAGUAAGAAAGGUAUCAAAUAUUUCGAAAACAAGUGGCGACUGAUCUAUCUGCCCCUCUUCCAAUUUGUCCCAAGAAUCAUCCGAAUCUAUGUGUUAUGUAAGAAGCUUUCCAGGAGUGCUGCUCCUAAUGACAUAACAGUAACCGGGAAGUUCAGAGGCACAUUCAAUUUCCUUCUCUUCAUUCUUGCCAGUCAUGUGGUUGGAGCAUUUUGGUACUGCUUCUCAGUUCUAAGAGAACUGUAUUGCUGGCAAAGUGCAUGCAAAUUUAACAGUGGAUGCAAGGUGAAUUCAUUUUCUUGUGAGGAUAUCACAAGCAAUGAACGGUUUGUUGAUAAUUUUUGCCCUAUCAAUCCACCUAAUCCAGCAAUAUUCGAUUUUGGUUUAUUUCUUAACGCCCAUCAAUCUGGUGUCACGAGGGUAAAUGAUUUUCCCGUAAAGUUAUUAUGCUGCUUCUUUUGGGGACUACGUGCAUUAAGCUCAUUUGGGUCCAACCUGACUACAAGUAGCUAUGCAUGCGAAAACAUCUUUGCGGCUCUCGUUAGCAUUGCUGGGAUACUUCUAGUUGUUUAUCUUAUCGGCAACUUGCAGGUUUGUUAAAGAUCUUCUCAUCGAAUAUGUAAACCUCUCCUUUUCUAAAUGAGUAACAAAGAAAUGGGUGCAUCAUUAAACAAGUAUAUCUGCGAUCCUCGACUUUAAGAUUAGAGGAGAAAAGGAGGACGAUGCAAAAGAAAGAUGGUGAAAUAGAUUUUUGGAUAGAUUAUUAUAAAUUUCAGAAGAAGAAGGAAAUCAAGGAGUUUGUGAGAGACAAGUUUGGGUGGAAAAAUGAUGUCAAUUUAAAAACACUGCUCGACGUGUUUUCGUCUCCAUUCGUUGAGGAGAUAAAGAAAGAACUUUGCUGCAAUAUCCUAAAGAGGGUUCCAAUGCUUAAAGAAUUUGAAGAGGAGAAGUUAGAAGAGAUGAUGAAGGAUAUGAAGCUAAUGAUUUUUGCAGAGCAUAACUAUAUUAUUCAAGAGGGGGAGCUUGUUGAGCAGAUGCUAUUAUUCACGAAAGGUAUGGGAUUGAAAUUUAGCAAGAGCAUUGGAGCUAGAACAACGAUUAGCACGUUUGGAAAAGGUGAUUUGUUUGGGGAGCAGCUACUGAUUGGGCAGUGAAAAUUCUUCAUGUGUCUGAAAUUCCUUUGUUCGAAUGUACACUCAAGACACAGACCCAAAUGGAAGCUUUCGCUCUUAUAGCUAUUGAUCCACAAUAUCAUAUCAAGUGGGACACAAAUACAUAUAGGUUAAGUUUAAAGUUUAAUUUCUCUUGAAUUUUAUAUUUGUGUUCCUAUGUUAUAGACUAAUUUAAAACGAGCGAGAAAAGUAUUUAUGUGAAACUUGGAUAACCCAACAUCUAUCUAAUUUGGAUAUCUUAUCAAGUUGUCUAA